This 450-nucleotide ribosomal RNA is filed under the name uncultured bacterium. RNAcentral describes it as "SSU rRNA". It matches the Rfam family "Bacterial small subunit ribosomal RNA", at positions 26 to 518 of the family's 1533-position model. The record is from RNAcentral.
AGAACGAACGCUGGCGGCAUGCCUAACACAUGCAAGUCGAACGCUCUUGGUUUCGGCCAAGGGAGUGGCGCACGGGUGAGUAACGCGUGGGAACCUGCCCUGGAGUGGGGGAUAACCGAGGGAAACCUCGGCUAAUACCGCAUACGACCUGAGGGUGAAAGAUUUAUCGCUCUAGGAGGGGCCCGCGUCGGAUUAGCUAGUUGGUGAGGUAACGGCCCACCAAGGCUAUGAUCCGUAGCUGGUCUGAGAGGAUGAUCAGCCACACUGGGACUGAGACACGGCCCAGACUCCUACGGGAGGCAGCAGUGGGAAUAUUGGACAAUGGGCGCAAGCCUGAUCCAGCAAUGCCGCGUGAGUGAUGAAGGCCUUAGGUUGUAAAGCUCUUUCACACGCGACGAUGAUGACGGUAGCGUGAGAAGAAGCCCCGGCUAACUUCGCGCCAGCAGCCGC